RNAcentral lists this ribosomal RNA (507 nucleotides) under uncultured bacterium. Its description in RNAcentral is "bacterial SSU rRNA". It matches the Rfam family "Bacterial small subunit ribosomal RNA", at positions 47 to 535 of the family's 1533-position model. The record is from RNAcentral.
CCUAACACAUGCAAGUCGAGCGAGAAGGAAGCAAUUCCUGUAAAGCGGCGCACGGGUGAGUAACACGUAGGUAAUCUACCUCGAAGUGGUGGAUAACCUUCCGAAAGGAGGGCUAAUACAGCAUGAGACCACGGUUUCGAAAGAGAUUGAGGUCAAAGCGGGCCACUAUACAUAAGCUCGCGCUUCGAGAUGAGCCUGCGGCCCAUCAUGGUAGUUGGUAGGGUAAUGGCCUACCAAGCCGAAGACGGGUAGCUGGUCUGAGAGGAUGAUCAGCCACACUGGAACUGAGACACGGUCCAGACUCCUACGGGAGGCAGCAGUGGGGAAUCUUGCGCAAUGGGCGAAAGCCUGACGCAGCGACGCCGCGUGAGUGAUGAAGGCCUUCGGGUUGUAAAGCUCUGUGGAGGGGGACGAAUAAGGGUUGGCUAACAUCCAGCUCGAUGACGGUACCCCUUUAGCAAGCACCGGCUAACUCUGUGCCAGCAGCCGCGGUAAGACAGAGGGUGC